CUCCUUCAGCUCCUGCUGUUCAGAGAGGUCUCUUCUCGCACUGCCAGAGCAACCAAGAUUUUAAUUUGACCGUGGUUAAAUGACCCAUUUGGACCAGGCCAGCCAGGCAGGAUGGGAGAGCGCCAUGGGGGUUCUGAAAGUACCCUCAAGAACCCUGGGAAGUGCCCCCCCCCCCCACAUCUGAGGCCACCUUUGACCUUCCAAAUGAUGAAGACUUAUUGCUGAGCUGCAUCUUGAGAGGCACAGACAGAAGA
This is a long non-coding RNA of Lynx canadensis (Canada lynx), 254 nucleotides long. RefSeq lists it as uncharacterized. The transcript has 2 exons. Lineage: Eukaryota; Metazoa; Chordata; Mammalia; Carnivora; Felidae. The record is from RefSeq and is a predicted model, not a curated record.